This 468-nucleotide ribosomal RNA is filed under the name uncultured bacterium. RNAcentral describes it as "partial 16S ribosomal RNA". It matches the Rfam family "Bacterial small subunit ribosomal RNA", at positions 28 to 507 of the family's 1533-position model. The record is from RNAcentral.
GACGAACGCUGGCGGCGUGCUUAACACAUGCAAGUCGAACGGGAAGGCCCUGCUUUUGUGGGGUGCUCGAGUGGCGAACGGGUGAGUAACACGUGAGUAACCUGCCCUUGACUUUGGGAUAACUUCAGGAAACUGGGGCUAAUACCGGAUAGGAGCUCCUGCUGCAUGGUGGGGGUUGGAAAGUUUCGGCGGUUGGGGAUGGACUCGCGGCUUAUCAGCUUGUUGGUGGGGUAGUGGCUUACCAAGGCUUUGACGGGUAGCCGGCCUGAGAGGGUGACCGGCCACGUUGGGACUGAGAUACGGCCCAGACUCCUACGGGAGGCAGCAGUGGGGAAUAUUGCACAAUGGGCGGAAGCCUGAUGCAGCAACGCCGCGUGCGGGAUGACGGCCUUCGGGUUGUAAACCGCUUUCGCCUGUGACGAAGCGUGAGUGACGGUAAUGGGUAAAGAAGCACCGGCUAACUACGUG